UGGCUCAGGACGAACGCUGGCGGCAUGCCUAAUACAUGCAAGUCGAGCGGACGUUUCAGAGAGCUUGCUCUUUGAAACGUUAGCGGCGGACGGGUGAGUAACACGUGGGCAACCUGCCCUACAGAUGGGGAUAACUCCGGGAAACCGGGGCUAAUACCGAAUAAUCAGUUGGUUCGCAUGAACCAACUCUGAAAGACGGUUUCGGCUGUCACUGUAGGAUGGGCCCGCGGCGCAUUAGCUAGUUGGUGGGGUAAUGGCCUACCAAGGCGACGAUGCGUAGCCGACCUGAGAGGGUGAUCGGCCACACUGGGACUGAGACACGGCCCAGACUCCUACGGGAGGCAGCAGUAGGGAAUCUUCCACAAUGGACGAAAGUCUGAUGGAGCAAUGCCGCGUGAGCGAAGAAGGUUUUCGGAUCGUAAAGCUCUGUUGUAAGGGAAGAACACGUACGGGAGUAACUGCCCGUACCUUGACGGUACCUUAUUAGAAAGCCACGGCU
This 499-nucleotide ribosomal RNA is filed under the name Sporosarcina sp. CL7.25. RNAcentral describes it as "bacterial SSU rRNA". It matches the Rfam family "Bacterial small subunit ribosomal RNA", at positions 20 to 498 of the family's 1533-position model. Lineage: Bacteria; Bacillati; Bacillota; Bacilli; Caryophanales; Caryophanaceae. The record is from RNAcentral.